AAUAGGCACCUUUGGUAAAGGCAAUCUCUCCAUUUUGUUGUUGCUCCCUUUUUUUCUUGCCAAUCUCAAGGAACUUUGGAUUAACUCCAUGAACGUUACAGACGAUGGACCCAGGGUAAUCCUGAGUGGCAGCAGAGAGUCUGAUUACCUGCAAUCAUACAGCUAAUCAGUUCAGACAGAGCAAGCGCAUGCAAUGGUUGCAACAAGUUCAUGAAAGCGGUAAAUAUUAUUACUACUUUGACUCUAUUUAAUAACAUGUAUCCUAAAACACCCUUUCAAUAAUAUGUUUAAUUUUACAAUGACACUUUUGAGAAUGCACUGAUCUUUUUUUGAGAUCAAGAAGAUUAAUUUCAUUUAACUAAAUUUCUUAAUAGGUGUGAAGUUAGUUAUUUUUACUAAUCAAGAUCGGAAGGAGUAUUUUCACAACUAAUCAUAAGAACAAAGCUUCAUUUCCCACUGCGGUGAUAUUUAUGAAUACAACUUGAGAAUGUAAAGCUCCCACCUCAAGAAAAAACUCAUGUUAUCUUUAGAUAAGGUGUUAGUUUUACCCACACAGAUGAAUACACCAAAAAACGUUAUGAAAGUUCUGUGAUGAUAUACGGAUUACACACCAACCAAAUGAACCAAGUAACAGCAUGAAUUGUAUAUUGCACACUCUUCAAUCAUUUUAUAUAUAUGGGAGUUAGGGGAUUACAUUGUUCAAUAACCUUGUAUGAAAUACAUA
This 724-nucleotide long non-coding RNA is filed under the name Medicago truncatula (barrel medic). RNAcentral describes it as "long non-coding RNA (MTRU_LNC001990)". The record is from RNAcentral. Lineage: Eukaryota; Viridiplantae; Streptophyta; Magnoliopsida; Fabales; Fabaceae.